CCUACGGGAGGCAGCAGUGAGGAAUAUUGGUCAAUGGACGAGAGGCUGAACCAGCCAAGUAGCGUGAAGGAUGACUGCCCUAUGGGUUGUAAACUUCUUUUAUAUGGGAAUAAAAUGUUCCACGUGUGGGAUUUUGUAUGUACCAUAUGAAUAAGGAUCGGCUAACUCCGUGCCAGCAGCCGCGGUAAUACGGAGGAUCCGAGCGUUAUCCGGAUUUAUUGGGUUUAAAGGGAGCGUAGGUGGAUUGUUAAGUCAGUUGUGAAAGUUUGCGGCUCAACCGUAGAAUUGCAGUUGAAACUGGAAGCCUUGAGUACAGUAGAGGUGGGCGGAAUUCGUGGUGUAGCGGUGAAAUGCUUAGAUAUCACGAAGAACUCCGAUUGCGAAGGCAGCUCACUGGAGUGCAACUGACACUGAGGCUCGAAAGUGUGGGUAUCAAACAGGAUUAGAUACCCGGGUAGUC
RNAcentral lists this ribosomal RNA (460 nucleotides) under uncultured bacterium. RNAcentral's name for it is "partial 16S ribosomal RNA". It matches the Rfam family "Bacterial small subunit ribosomal RNA", at positions 338 to 795 of the family's 1533-position model. The record is from RNAcentral.